This is a long non-coding RNA of Peromyscus leucopus (white-footed mouse), 602 nucleotides long. RefSeq lists it as uncharacterized. The record is from RefSeq and is a predicted model, not a curated record. The transcript has 3 exons. NCBI's taxonomy places the organism in Eukaryota, Metazoa, Chordata, Mammalia, Rodentia, Cricetidae.
GUGGCAUCUUUGUAUACACAAAAAAGGAGGAAAGGAGACAACAAUUUUGUGAUCUGUUUCUGGAGAUGUGGAGAAGCCGGAUUCCAUCAAGAAGAAGAUGCCCUUGAUGGUUUGCCAGAAGCACUCAGUUCUCAGGGGUAGCUUGCUUUCCCUCAUUAUCAGGAUUGUCCAGCAUUCUCAACCUCUUCUCCAGCCUCUGCUUCCAUUCUUCUCGAAGCCUGCGGAGAAGACACCACACACGCAAUUGAUUAGUGCAUUUGUUUCUAUAUCUGCUGGUCCAUUGAAGCUUUUGAGCUCAUCGCAGGUCUCGCAGCAGAAGACUUCCCUGCGCAUGUACUGGCUGUUCAUCCCUGCAAUGUGAAAGACAAAGCGUAGCCCAGCAAUUGCAAGUAGUAGCGCCCGACUGGGAUGUGCUUGGACCCAGGUGAGUUUGAAUUGAUACUUUUCUGUCAUCACACACUAAUGGAAUGACUCCAUUUUUCCCACUGCAGAUGAAGAUAAUCAUAAUGAUGUAAAAAGUAUUCUGGAAAACAGUUGAACAAAGAAAAAUCUGUAGCCCUUGAAGGUAAUCUGAUUCUGAAGCAGUUGACUUUUUUGUUGUC